GGAGAGGUAUCGAAGCGGUCAUAACGAGGCGGUCUUGAAAACCGUUUGGCGUAACAGCCACGUGGGUUCGAAUCCCACCCUCUCCG
This 86-nucleotide transfer RNA is filed under the name Oscillospiraceae bacterium. Its description in RNAcentral is "tRNA-Ser". It matches the Rfam family "tRNA". Rfam says of the family: Transfer RNA (tRNA) molecules are approximately 80 nucleotides in length. The record is from RNAcentral. Lineage: Bacteria; Bacillati; Bacillota; Clostridia; Eubacteriales; Oscillospiraceae.